CCUACGAGUGGCAGCAGUGAGGAAUAUUGGUCAAUGGGCGCGAGCCUGAACCAGCCAAGUAGCGUGAAGGAUGACUGCCCUUCGGGUUGUAAACUUCUUUUAUAAAGGAAUAAAGCGAGGCACGUGUGCCUUUUUGUAUUUACUUUAUGAAUACUGAUCGGCUAACUCCGUACCAGCAGCCGCGGUAAUACGGAGGAUCCGAGCGUUAUCCGGAUUUAUUGGGUUUAAAGGGAGAGUAGAUGGGUUGUUAAGUCAGUUGUGAAAGUUUGCGGCUCAACCGUAAAAUUGCAAUUGAUACUGGCAGCCGUGAGUACAGGUGAGGUAGGGGGAAUUCGUGGUGUAGCGGUGAAAUGCUUAGAUAUCACGAAGAACUCCGAUUGCGAAGGCAGCCUACUAAACUGCCACUGACAUUGAUGCUCGAAAGUGUGGGUAUCAAACAGGAUUAGAUACCCUUGUAGUC
Molecule: ribosomal RNA, 460 nt
Filed under: uncultured bacterium
Lineage: Bacteria
Description: partial 16S ribosomal RNA
Rfam family: Bacterial small subunit ribosomal RNA
Source: RNAcentral